AGGCUAAAACAAACAACUACAAAACACUAUAAUAAAACCAAUUUUAAAAGAUAGAUUACCUAGAUUAUCUUAAAGUUUUAAUCUUAUAUAUACUCAAAGAUAUAGAAAUAAUAGAUAUUAAGAAAAUAAUAUUAGAAGAAGUAAUAAACUAUGAAAUUGAAACUGCAAAUUGUCUAGAACAGUUAUACGAAGAAAUUUACCC
Molecule: long non-coding RNA, 202 nt
Filed under: Capsicum annuum
Lineage: Eukaryota; Viridiplantae; Streptophyta; Magnoliopsida; Solanales; Solanaceae
Description: long non-coding RNA (CANN_LNC021599)
Source: RNAcentral